UUGCUUCUGCAGCAAAUAUACUAAAAUUGGAAUGAUACAGAGAAGAUUAGCAUGGGCCCUGUGCAAGGAUGACAUGCACAUUACUGAAGUGGUCCAUAUAUUU
This 103-nucleotide small nuclear RNA is filed under the name Castor canadensis (American beaver). Lineage: Eukaryota; Metazoa; Chordata; Mammalia; Rodentia; Castoridae. The record is from RNAcentral.